GCCUUCGUGGUGUAGUGGUCAGCCCGCUCGAAGUGUGACCAAGAGGUCCGUGGUUCGAUUCCCGGCGAAGGCG
This 73-nucleotide transfer RNA is filed under the name Stegodyphus mimosarum. It matches the Rfam family "tRNA". From Rfam's summary of the family: Transfer RNA (tRNA) molecules are approximately 80 nucleotides in length. The record is from Rfam by way of RNAcentral. Lineage: Eukaryota; Metazoa; Arthropoda; Arachnida; Araneae; Eresidae.